AUGGUCAGUCCUUGCAUCUAUUGUCUGGUCUAUGAAUUUGAGAGUGGUUACAUUUCUCUAGCCCCAUCCCUGAGCUGUUUACAAAAUCAGGUCCAUAGACUAGCCUUGUGAAACCAUACUGAUCUUGCAAUAGCUCACAUUGUUUCACUGAAGCUAAAAUGUUAGCAGGCUAUCCAUAGACUAUAUCACAGCGGUCACUCACUGGUGGUGUCACUUUCAUCUGAAGCUGACAGUCACACACAGAGACAACACUGAGAGAGCAAACCCUGUUCCCGAAACCUUGGCCCUGGAUAGUGGAGUCGUGCAGACCCUUUUGAUUUCCAAACCGAAAAUAGACAUGCUGUUGUUGCCAUGUUAAAAAAAGAAAAGGCAUAAGUCAACCUACAAGCAGCAUACCAGACCGACUGCUUCAUUACAAGGUUCACCAACAGACCUACAUCAAUAUACCCAUGUCAACUGGACUCCCACUGUGAAGAUGAGCAGUGCUGCAGGAGCAUCAGGUUCUACUUCUUUUCCAGAUAUGAAAAGGAGACAUCCCUCAGUUGGUUGUCAUAUGCUGUGCUUUUGACUGAAUUAUUCUGUUGUGCCAUUUGAGUAGAGCACCUUCACCUUGUCAUCAUGACAAAAGUGCCCUAUUAAAUCGUAUGAACAUAUCAAAUGUGAAAAAUACUAUUUUGUCAUCUGCUUUGCUCCGACCCAUUGAAUAAAAAGUAUUUCUUAUA
Salvelinus sp. IW2-2015 is the source of this 722-nucleotide non-coding RNA. Lineage: Eukaryota; Metazoa; Chordata; Actinopteri; Salmoniformes; Salmonidae. The record is from RefSeq and is a predicted model, not a curated record.